Molecule: ribosomal RNA, 429 nt
Filed under: Chloroflexota bacterium
Lineage: Bacteria; Bacillati; Chloroflexota
Description: Chloroflexi bacterium partial 16S ribosomal RNA
Rfam family: Bacterial small subunit ribosomal RNA
Source: RNAcentral
UGGGGAAUAUUGCACAAUGGGCGCAAGCCUGAUGCAGCCAUGCCGCGUGUAUGAAGAAGGCCUUCGGGUUGUAAAGUACUUUCAGUCGGGAGGAAGGUGGUAAGGUUAAUAACCUUAUCAAUUGACGUUACCGACAGAAGAAGCACCGGCUAACUCCGUGCCAGCAGCCGCGGUAAUACGGAGGGUGCAAGCGUUAAUCGGAAUUACUGGGCGUAAAGCGCACGCAGACGGUCUGUCAAGUCGGAUGUGAAAUCCCCGGGCUCAACCUGGGAACUGCAUUCGAAACUGGCAGGCUAGAGUCUUGUAGAGGGGGGUAGAAUUCCAGGUGUAGCGGUGAAAUGCGUAGAGAUCUGGAGGAAUACCGGUGGCGAAGGCGGCCCCCUGGACAAAGACUGACGCUCAGGUGCGAAAGCGUGGGGAGCAAACAGG